UACUAUCUCCCUCAGUGGGUUGUUCCCCAGUGGAGUUUGUUUGAGGUGGCUGUUAGUAUUCCCCGAGUAGAGUUGCUUGUACAGCUGGAUUCUACUUCGGUGUUCUGUUCUCCUUUUGUGGGUUGUUCCCCAGCGGAGUUAUUUCAGAGUUGCUCCUCAUAACAAUUCUCGCCUGUGAAGUGAACUUUUUGUUUCUCAGUUGACGCUGAUGGUUCCCCUGCAGGGAUUUUG
This 231-nucleotide long non-coding RNA is filed under the name Lathyrus oleraceus (garden pea). Its description in RNAcentral is "Pisum sativum (pea) long non-coding RNA (PSAT_LNC037720)". The record is from RNAcentral. Lineage: Eukaryota; Viridiplantae; Streptophyta; Magnoliopsida; Fabales; Fabaceae.